UCCCUGAUGGUGCAGUGGUUAAGACUCUGUGCUUCCAAUGCAGGAGGUUCAGGUUCAAUACUUGGUCAGAGAA
Molecule: transfer RNA, 73 nt
Filed under: Bos taurus (domestic cattle)
Lineage: Eukaryota; Metazoa; Chordata; Mammalia; Artiodactyla; Bovidae
Also listed under: 2 other names
Rfam family: tRNA
About the family: Transfer RNA (tRNA) molecules are approximately 80 nucleotides in length. Their secondary structure includes four short double-helical elements and three loops (D, anti-codon, and T loops).
Source: Rfam by way of RNAcentral